Paramuricea clavata is the source of this 238-nucleotide non-coding RNA. Lineage: Eukaryota; Metazoa; Cnidaria; Anthozoa; Malacalcyonacea; Plexauridae. The record is from the annotation of a GenBank genome assembly.
GUAGAAGUCUUCUCAACUAUAAACCUCUGUCUUAACCUUCUUAAAUUGCAAUAAAUUCAUACAACGGAUAAUACAAGACAUGUUGAUCUUAAAGUUACUUAUUCGAACGAGUUUAUUUUGGCCGUCGUCGUCGCGUUGCCGUCACCUAUUUGCUAAAGGUCCCUAAUAUUCAAGACAAAAUAACAAUAACUAAGUACGUCUUAUGUAAUAAGUUAUAGUCUUACUGCAUUUAUAUAAG